Molecule: ribosomal RNA, 474 nt
Filed under: uncultured bacterium
Lineage: Bacteria
Description: bacterial SSU rRNA
Rfam family: Bacterial small subunit ribosomal RNA
Source: RNAcentral
UUAUGGCUCAGAACGAACGCUGGCGGCAUGGAUUAGGCAUGCAAGUCGAACGGUGUGGCAAUACGACAGUGGCGGAAGGGUGAGGAACACGUGAAUAAUCUGCCCUCAAGUUUGGGGAAUAACUUUCCGAAAGGAAAGCUAAUACCGAAUGUGGUGUUUUAUCGCAUGAUAGGACACUAAAGAUUUAUCGCUUGAGGAUGAGUUCGCGUCCCAUUAGCUAGUUGGCGGGGUAACGGCCCACCAAGGCAGAGAUGGGUAGCUGGUCUGAGAGGAUGAUCAGCCACACUGGGACUGAGACACUGCCCAGACUCCUACGGGAGGCUGCAGUCGAGAAUCUUUUGCAAUGCGCGAAAGCCGUGACAAAGCAAUGCCGCGUGCCGGAUGAAGGUCUUCGGAUUGUAAACGGCUGUCACUCGGGACGAAAAUGACGGUACCGAGGGAGGAAGCCACGGCUAACUACGUGCCAGCCGCAGC